Molecule: ribosomal RNA, 696 nt
Filed under: uncultured bacterium
Lineage: Bacteria
Description: bacterial SSU rRNA
Rfam family: Bacterial small subunit ribosomal RNA
Source: RNAcentral
AACACUAGCUACAGGCUUAACACAUGCAAGUCGAGGGGAAACGAUAGAGAAAGCUUGCUUUUUCUAGGCGUCGACCGGCGCACGGGUGAGUAACGCGUAUCCAACCUGCCCACCACUUGGGGAUAACCUUGCGAAAGUAAGACUAAUACCCAAUGACGUCUCUAGAAGACAUCUGAAAGGGAUUAAAGAUUUAUCGGUGAUGGAUGGGGAUGCGUCUGAUUAGCUUGUUGGCGGGGUAACGGCCCACCAAGGCAACGAUCAGUAGGGGUUCUGAGAGGAAGGUCCCCCACAUUGGAACUGAGACACGGUCCAAACUCCUACGGGAGGCAGCAGUGAGGAAUAUUGGUCAAUGGGCGAGAGCCUGAACCAGCCAAGUAGCGUGCAGGAAGACGGCCCUACGGGUUGUAAACUGCUUUUAUGAAGGAAUAAUGAGGGUCACGUGUGGCCCGUUGCAUGUACUUCAUGAAUAAGGACCGGCUAAUUCCGUGCCAGCAGCCGCGGUAAUACGGAAGGUCCGGGCGUUAUCCGGAUUUAUUGGGUUUAAAGGGAGCGUAGGCCGCCUGGUAAGCGUGUUGUGAAAUGUCGUUGCUCAACAACGUCACUGCAGCGCGAACUGCUGGGCUUGAGUGUGCGGAAAGCGGGCGGAAUUUGUGGUGUAGCGGUGAAAUGCUUAGAUAUCACGAAGAACUCCGAUCG